CCUGCACCAGUGGGGUCCCUCAGCCUGGCCUGCACCCUCUCGCAAUCCAGGACCCCUCAGGGGAUGUCGGACUGCCGGUUUUGGCCCGAUCCGUGCAGGCCAGGCUGAGGGACCCCACUGGUGCACA
Myotis lucifugus (little brown bat) is the source of this 127-nucleotide non-coding RNA. NCBI's taxonomy places the organism in Eukaryota, Metazoa, Chordata, Mammalia, Chiroptera, Vespertilionidae. The record is from Rfam.